RNAcentral lists this ribosomal RNA (795 nucleotides) under uncultured bacterium. RNAcentral describes it as "bacterial SSU rRNA". It matches the Rfam family "Bacterial small subunit ribosomal RNA", at positions 62 to 869 of the family's 1533-position model. The record is from RNAcentral.
UUGAGCGGAGAUAUAUGGAGCUUGCUUUAUAUAACUUAGCAGCGAACGGGUGAGUAACACGUAGAUAAUCUAUCCUAUACUGGGGGAUAGCCCGAUGAAAGUUGGAUUAGUACCGCAUAUAGCUAUAUAGUUGCAUGAUUAUGUAGUGAAAGAUUUAUUGGUAUAGGAGGAGUCUGCGGCACAUUAGCUAGUAGGUGAGGUAAAGGCUUACCUAGGCGACGAUGUGUAGCCGGUCUGAGAGGAUGAACGGCCACAAUGGAACUGAGACACGGUCCAUACUCCUACGGGAGGCAGCAGUGGGGAAUAUUGCACAAUGGGGGAAACCCUGAUGCAGCUACGCCGCGUGAGUGAAGAAGGUUUUCGGAUUGUAAAGCUCUGUUAGCAGGGAAGAGGAAGGACGGUACCUGCAGAGGAAGCCACGGCUAACUACGUGCCAGCAGCCGCGGUAAUACGUAGGUGGCAAGCGUUGUUCGGAGUAACUGGGCGUAAAGGAUGCGUAGGCGGUUAAACAAGUUAUAUGUUAAAUAUAUAGGCUUAACCUGUAGAAAGCAUAUAAAACUGUUUAACUAGAGUGCAGGAGAGGUAAGUGGAAUUCCUAGUGUAGCGGUGAAAUGCGUAGAGAUUAGGAAGAACACCAGUGGCGAAGGCGACUUACUGGACUGUAACUGACGCUGAGGCAUGAGAGCAUGGGGAGCAAACAGGAUUAGAUACCCUGGUAGUCCAUGCUGUAAACGAUGGGUACUAGGUGUGGGUUGUGAAUAACAAUUCGUGCCGUCGCAAACGCAAUAAGUACCC